AAUGAACGUUGGCGGCGUGGAUUAGGCAUGCAAGUCGUACGGUAAGCUUCGGCUUAUAGUGGCGAAAGGGAGAGUAACGCGUGGUUACAUGCCCUCGGGACCGGGAUAGCGGCGGGAAACUGCCGGUAAUACCGGAGAAUAUCUUUGGAUCAAAGGUGUGACUCCGCCCGAGGAUUGGAACGCGUUCUAUUAGCUUGUUGGCGGGGUAAUGGCCCACCAAGGCGACGAUGGAUACCGGGUGUGAGAGCAUGGCCCGGCUCACUGGGACUGAGACACUGCCCAGACACCUACGGGUGGCUGCAGUCGAGAAUCUUCGGCAAUGGGGGCAACCCUGACCGAGCGACGCCGCGUGCGGGACGAAGGCCUUCGGGUUGUAAACCGCUGUCAGUUGGGAGGAAGUGCCGGGGGGUUCUCCCCUCGGUUUGACCGAUCUUCAGAGGAAGGACGGGCUAAGUUCGUGCCAGCAGCCGCGGUAA
RNAcentral lists this ribosomal RNA (476 nucleotides) under uncultured bacterium. RNAcentral's name for it is "partial 16S ribosomal RNA". It matches the Rfam family "Bacterial small subunit ribosomal RNA", at positions 28 to 523 of the family's 1533-position model. The record is from RNAcentral.